UCUUAAUUAGAAGCUGGAAUGACGGGUUUAAUGAGAAAUUAGCUGUCUUUUUUUAAAUUUUACAAUUUUAUUUUUGAGUUAAAAAGCUUAAAUUUAUUAUAAAGACGAGAAGACCCUAUAGAGUUUAAUAACUGGUUGAUUUAAGUUUACAGGUUUAUUUAUAUUUAAAUUUAAUUUGUUAAUUGGUUGGGGUGAUUAUAAAAUUUGAUUAACUUUUUUUGUUCUUUACAUUUAGUAAUGAUGGAUUGAUCCUUUAUUUAGGAUUAUAAGAUUAAAUUACCUUAGGGAUAACAGCGUAAUUUUUCUUGAAAGUUCAUAUUUAUAGAAGAGUUUGCGACCUCGAUGUUGGAUUAA
Molecule: ribosomal RNA, 354 nt
Filed under: Menimus setosella
Lineage: Eukaryota; Metazoa; Arthropoda; Insecta; Coleoptera; Tenebrionidae
Description: partial 16S ribosomal RNA
Source: RNAcentral